Molecule: small nucleolar RNA, 86 nt
Organism: Lycium barbarum (goji berry)
Lineage: Eukaryota; Viridiplantae; Streptophyta; Magnoliopsida; Solanales; Solanaceae
Product: small nucleolar RNA snoR128
Exons: 1
Source: RefSeq, a predicted model, not a curated record
CUGCUGUGAUGAGACUCAAAUCUUGUUGAAAGUCUUGGUACUUGAUGAAACCAUCAACAGUGAUGUUGAUGCGGUUACCUGAGCAG